GUGGAGCAGGGGAUGCUUGGAGUUGAUCACGGAAAGGAUGGAAUCUGUGCUCAAACGUGGACGCGGCUGAAUCUGGGAAGUUUGGACGCAGAAGGAGAUAAGGAUGCUGGGAGAUUACUUGCAGUUGGUUGGGAUCAAUCCGAUCCGAGCUCAUCUGGGUUGAGAUGCAGCCAUUGGCUGGACGUGGAGGAAUCCGGAAGAAACUGAUAACGGAUGCGGUUGAAUGCUGGGAUAAGGAUUCGUGAUGAGCUGCAUCUGCUGGGAUAAUGCGGAGAAAAUCUCGGACGCGGAAGGAGGAUGAACUCUGUUCUGUUUCCUAAACAGGGGAAGAGGAUGAAUCUUUGAUGGCUGGGAUGAAGACGCGUGAAACAGGGGAUGAUUCAUGGGAUUCGGCAGCUCGGGCGUUGGGAGUGAAGGUGCUGGAAGCUUGAUCUGCAUCACGGGAUGGCUCGCGGAUGAGGUUGAGAUUAAUCCGGGAGUUUGGAUGAAGCUCACGGUUGGGAACGGAUGUCAAGUGAUCUGGAACAGGGGAGAAUAAGUUAGAUGCCGUGUUUGCUGGUCCGUGAGGCUCGGGAGGAUGGAGUC
Molecule: long non-coding RNA, 585 nt
Filed under: Phoenix dactylifera (date palm)
Lineage: Eukaryota; Viridiplantae; Streptophyta; Magnoliopsida; Arecales; Arecaceae
Description: long non-coding RNA (PDAC_LNC021223)
Source: RNAcentral